UUCGAUUUUCUUUCUCUCCCAGCCCAUAUCCAAUUUACGUGAUGAUAUUAAGAAAGAUUUUUUUUUUCUUUUAAAACUUGUGAUCUAAAAUAAGAAAUUAAAUAUCUCAUUUUGUCACUAUGCAUGUCUUAUAAUGGUAAAUGGUAAUUUUAAAGAUGAAAUUGUUUCUAGAUACGUAAAUGUAUCAAUCUUUGCGCGAAAAACUGAAAGUGUGACAAAUAAUUACUACAAAAGGAGUAUAUAUUUUGUGUUUGAUGUUUAUAUAGGUAUGUGUAUAAUCAAAUUUAUUUUCAGAUCUGACGUUUGGUUUUAAUAAAUUGAUUGAUUCUGAGGUGUUAGUCCCUUUUGGUGUUUCGUUUUUAAGGUGACAGAUUGAUAUACAAGAAAUAUUAACUCGGUUGACAGGGAAUAAUUGCUCUCCUAGCCUGAGGAAAUGCUAAAAAACUAGUGAACAUGGAAAUCUUGUAGUUUGAUGUUACUUUUGUGGAUUAUUGUAUUUUUUUAAAACUAAUUAAGAGACAUUUCGAGAAGUUGAGUAAAUCGAAUUGGAUUAGGGAUAGAAGGAGAAAUGAUAAUCUAAUUUUGAUGAUAGAGUUGGCCUUUAUCUUGUGGUUUUAGCUUGUUUUUAAUGCUGCCAAAAAUCCUUUUCGAAAUCUAUGGCGGGUUUUGUUUGAGCUGAUUCUGGUUUGGAGGAACAAUUGUCUUUUGGUAGGAAGGAAAAGGCUUUCCUCAAAAUAUUAUUUGUGGUAAAUGUUACCGCUAAAAGAAAAAAAAAGGUUUGUGGUAAAUGUUUUCUCAGAAAAUGUUUUCAAAUGGAAAUUAUUUAUUUAAGGUUGAUAAUAGUGUCAUCAAUAAUGGAUAGUGUUUUGCAUGAAAAUUUGAUGCAGAUCUUGCGUUAACGAUUGAUAAUAAUGUCUUAGUAUUGGUUGGACGAGUACCGUAAAGAGAUUAUAUAUUUAUAAAGAAACAUGUUUUUCGCCCAUAGUGAAGGAAACCAUUUUCUUCUUUUUAGACGAUGAUGUUAAACAAGAGCAGAUAUUACGUUCUGUUUGUGCCAAAUUAGGCUAAGUUUAAAUUCUGGCAACUGAUUUAUUGGAGGAAGAGUGGCAUGUCGGGGAUGAUGUUAGUUCUCUCAUGGGGGAUUUAUUUUAGCUGUUAUGUGAAUUCUGAGCAGCUUUGUUUGUACUUUACCACUUUGGAACUAGUUAUGCUAGUUCAUUUUAUUGUGAUCAACAGCAACAAUAACAACCCAGUAUAAUCCCACUUAGUGGGGUCUGGGGAGGGUAGUGUGUAUGCAAACCUUACCCCUACCCUGGGGUAGAGAGGCUAUUUCCAAAUAGACCCCCGGCAUCCUUCCCUCCAAGAACUUCCCACUCAACAGCAACAAUAACAACCCAGUAUAAUCCCACUUAGUGGGGUCUGGGGAGGGUAGUGUGUAUGCAAACCUUACCCCUACCUUUGGUUAGAGAUGCUGUUUCCAAAUAGACCCUCGGCAUCCUUCCCUCCAAGAACUUCCCACCUUGCUCUUGGGGAGACUCGAACUCACAACCUCUCGGUUGGAAGUGGGGCUUUGGUUAGAGAUGCUGUUUCCAAAUAGACCCUCGGCAUCCUUCCCUCCAAGAACUUCCCACCUUGCUCUUGGGGGGACUCGAACUCACAACUUCUCGGUUGGAAGUGGGAGUUGCUUACUAUCAGAGCAACCCUCUUGUCCAUUUUAUUGUGAUCCUUAAAGAUAAAAUACAAGUAACGUUAACUGAGGAAGUUUCUUUAGUAUAGUUAUCCGUUUAUGUUCUGCAUUGCUGAUUCUGGUGUCUAGUUGGAGAUUUGAUUAAUGAGAUGGUUGAAAACCUUAUCUUCUGAAUUUAGGUACUGUGUUACGAUUUAAAAAGGGCGUCUGAUUUGUAUAGUUGGCUCUUUUAGGUCAACAAAGAUUUUUGUUAUUUUUAUUAUAAUUACAGGCUUAUAAGUUGCCCGUAAUUGAUCGUUUAGCUUUGUUAUUUUCUGGACAUAAGUUGGAAAGUGGUGCAUUUACUGUAUUCUUAUGUUUGUUUGGAAAGUAGCUCACUGACCCAAUGUUAUGGUUAGCAACCGUGGUUUGUUAAGUACUUUCCGUAUAGUAAGCUAAUUGUGAAGUUUUGUAUAGGUUGCAUCACGACUAAGGAGCUUGGGACUGUGAUGAGGUCACUCGGACAGAACCCCACUGAAGCAGAGCUCCAGGACAUGAUAAACGAGGUGGAUGCAGAUGGUAACGGAACCAUUGACUUCCCUGAAUUU
Molecule: long non-coding RNA, 2274 nt
Filed under: Nicotiana benthamiana
Lineage: Eukaryota; Viridiplantae; Streptophyta; Magnoliopsida; Solanales; Solanaceae
Description: long non-coding RNA (NBEN_LNC041336)
Source: RNAcentral